GGUGCUGUGGCUCAGUGGUAGAGCGCUUGCCCUGGGUUCGAUUCCUCAGCACCA
This 54-nucleotide transfer RNA is filed under the name Dipodomys ordii (Ord's kangaroo rat). It matches the Rfam family "tRNA". From Rfam's summary of the family: Transfer RNA (tRNA) molecules are approximately 80 nucleotides in length. Their secondary structure includes four short double-helical elements and three loops (D, anti-codon, and T loops). The record is from Rfam by way of RNAcentral. Lineage: Eukaryota; Metazoa; Chordata; Mammalia; Rodentia; Heteromyidae.